This is a small nuclear RNA of Vigna angularis (adzuki bean), 160 nucleotides long. It matches the Rfam family "U1 spliceosomal RNA". Rfam says of the family: U1 is a small nuclear RNA (snRNA) component of the spliceosome (involved in pre-mRNA splicing). Its 5' end forms complementary base pairs with the 5' splice junction, thus defining the 5' donor site of an intron. The record is from Rfam. Lineage: Eukaryota; Viridiplantae; Streptophyta; Magnoliopsida; Fabales; Fabaceae.
AUACUUACCUGGAUGGGGUCAAUGAGUGAUCAGAAAGGCUCAUGGCCUAGAAUUGUGACCUUCAUUGCACAUAGAAGGGGUGCUGUUCUAAGGUCUGUCCUAGUGGCAGAGCCUACAUCAUAAUUUGUGGCAGAGGGGCUUGCGUUCGCGCAGCCCCUAC